This 69-nucleotide antisense RNA is filed under the name Saccharothrix sp. NRRL B-16348. RNAcentral's name for it is "ASpks sRNA". It matches the Rfam family "ASpks TB sRNA". Lineage: Bacteria; Bacillati; Actinomycetota; Actinomycetes; Pseudonocardiales; Pseudonocardiaceae. The record is from RNAcentral.
CUUCAGCGAGCCGAGGAACAGCGGCUCGGCGCGGUCCUGCCCGUAGGUGGCCAGCAGCGCCUGCGCCUC